CUGACAUCCAGGACCUACAGUAUAUACUAGGCUGUGUCAGAGGAAGGCCCCAAAAAUGGUCAAAGAAUCCAGAAACCGAAGUCAUAGACUGUUCUCUCGGCAAGCGACACCGGAGCGCAAAGUCUUGGACCAAAAGGCUCCUUAACAGCUUCUACCCCCAAGCCAUAAGACCGUCGAACAGUUAAUCAUAUGGCAACCCGGACUAUUUAAAUUUACCCCCAACCCCCACUGCCUCCUACACCUUUGUUUUUAUACUGCUGCUACUUUCUGUUUAUUAUCUAUGCAUAGUCACUUUACAAAUGACCUCGACUAACCUGUGGUGGUGGCGGUUAAGGUUUUGGCAUGGGAGGGGGUGGUGGUGGUGGCUUUCAAGCACAUCUGUGAUAAGCAAUGGUGUUCAAAUUCCUAAUGAAGACAGGGCAGGUCACAUUGUUACCAUCAGGCAGUGGUCAGUCACGUCUUAAUCCUUUAAACUCACCUCUAUGUGUUUCUCCACAGGAGCUGCUGGCCAUGAGGAUGGAGAUGACUGGACAGAUCAACGUGGAGGUGGAUGCAGCACCACAGGAGGACCUGUCCAGAGUCAUGUCUGAGAUCCAAUACGAGUCCAGCGUGACCUGGAGUCCUGGUUCCAGACCACGACAGAGACGUUGAACCAGGAGGUGGCGUCCAGCACAGAGGUUCUCCAGACCUCCAAGUCAGAGAUCUCGGAGAUCCGUCGCACACUGCAGGGCCUGGAGAUUGAACUGCAUUACAAAAAUUACAAACAUCUGACCAAGGACCACAGUUUAGGGCACAUUACGUACACAACAUUCUGCAACUUUUAUCAAUAAUCAACAUUUGACUCUUUCAUCAUUCUCUACCAUCCCUCAAGUAUCUCACUUUCACCUGGACUCUAACACUAUCCCUCAAGCUGUUGUAGCCAGGCACCACUCCAUCAGCAUGCCUCUGCCUCAGCUCCUGCAGCUCCGGCCCCAGCUUCUCCACCUCCACCACACGCAAGAUGGUGAUUGUCACAGAGGAAAUGGGGGACGGCAAGGUGUAGGCAACGGGUUAACACCAUUGAAAUAUAAUUAGUAGAAUGGGUAUAGGAAAUGAGAGGCCAUCACAUGGAAUAUUGCUGCUCCCCAGUGCUUUGUUCAUGCAACCUAAAAUACAUUUCAACUUAUACAAAGGGAAUAUUCACCUGAAACGACGAUCUUCAUUAUCUUUGUUAUUUGUUAAGGGCAGCUCUGUUUAACUCUAGUAUGGGGUGUCCAUACCAUCCUCCUAUUCUUUCUGGAAUGGCUCAAGCCCCUCAGACACCAAUCAUGGAACAUUGACUUCAAUGGGUUUUCUUUUCUGGUAAUUCUAUUUCUAUGGUUAACACCUCCAGAAAAACAUAUUCUACUACAUCUGGAUGGAACUCCAACAACAGACCCCAUUGUGAAUACAAUAAAGAGGCUCUGACUUGCUG
Long non-coding RNA from Oncorhynchus mykiss (rainbow trout), 1453 nucleotides. RefSeq lists it as uncharacterized. NCBI's taxonomy places the organism in Eukaryota, Metazoa, Chordata, Actinopteri, Salmoniformes, Salmonidae. The record is from RefSeq and is a predicted model, not a curated record.